GGGAAUAGGUGGCACUGUGUAGGGAAUAGGUGGCACUGUGUAGGGAAUAGGUGGCACUGUGUAGGGAAUAGGUGGCACUGUGUAGGGAAUAGGUGGCACCGUGUAGGGAAUAGGUGGCACUGUGUAGGGAAUAGGUGGCACUGUGUAGGGAAUAGGUGGCACUGUGUAGGGAAUAGGUGGCACUGUGUAGGGAAUAGGUGGCACUGUGUAGGGAAUAGGUGGCACUGUGUAGGGAAUAGGUGGCACUGUGUAAGGAAUAGGUGGCACUGUGUAGGGAAUAGGUGGCACUGUGUAGGGAAUAGGUGGCACUGUGUAAGGAAUAGGGGGCACUGUGUAAGGAAUAGGUGGCACUGUGUAGGGAAUAGGGUGUCAUUGAAGACAGCCACAAUAAACAAGAGACUAACUACAGAACUUAGUUUUUUAAAGAAAAUGAAUUCGAUGAACCGAUUUGAUAAUAGAAGCGUCUUAUUUAGUCUUGUGGUAUUAUCCUAGAAAGGUGUUUAAACCUUCGCUUUUAGAGUUUCUAUUCUUUUGAUUCCACUUAAGAGUAUCACUUGUUGUUGUUUUUUGCUAACUAAAGGAAGAACUGUGUAUUAUAAGUACCAUCACAUUGACUCCCUUCUCACACACACACACACACACACACACACACACACACACACACACACACACACACACACACACACACACACACACACACACACACACACACACACACACACACACACACACACACACACACACACAC
This is a long non-coding RNA of Oncorhynchus keta (chum salmon), 748 nucleotides long. RefSeq lists it as uncharacterized. The transcript has 4 exons. Lineage: Eukaryota; Metazoa; Chordata; Actinopteri; Salmoniformes; Salmonidae. The record is from RefSeq and is a predicted model, not a curated record.